GGAGAACCAGUAUAGUACAGCUCCAUUAGAGAGGAGGAUGGAGAACCAGUCUAGUAUAGCUACAUUAGAGAGGAGGAGGACGGAGAACCAGUAUAGUAUAGCUACAUUAGAGAGGAGGAGGAGGGAGAACCAGUCUAGUAUAGCUACAUUAGAGAGGAGGAGUAGGGAGAACCAGUCUAGUACAGCUACAUAAGAGAGGAGGAGGAGGGAGAACCAGUCUAGUACAGCUACAUAAUAGAGGAGGAGGAGGGAAAACCAGUCUAGUAUAGAUACAUUAGAGAGGAGGAGGGAAAACCAGUCUAGUAUAGACACAUUAGAGAACCAGAGGAGGGAGAACCAGUCUAGUAUAGCUACAUUAGAGAGGAGGAUGGAGAACCAGUCAUGUACAGCUAUAUUAGAGAGGAGGAGGAGAACCAGUCAUGUAAAGCUAUAUUAGAGAGGAGAGAGAGAACCAGUCUAGGAUAGCUACAUUAGAGAGGAGGAGGGAGAAUCAGUCUAGUAUAGCUACAUUAGAGAGGAGGAGGAGGGAGAACCAGUCUAGUAUACCUACAUUAGAGAGGAGGAGGAGGAGGAGGAGGGAGAACCAGUCUAGUACAGCUACAUUAAAGAGGAGGAGGAGGGAGAACCAGUCUAGUACAGCUACAUUAGAGAGGAGGAGGGAGAACCAGUCUAGUACAGCUACAUUAGAGAGGAUGAGGGAGAACCAGUCUAGUACAGCUAAAUUAGAGAGGAGGAGGAAGAACCAGUCUAGUACAGCUACAUUAGAGAGGAGGAGGAGGGAGAACCAGUCUAGUACAGCUACAUUAGAGAGGAGGAGGGAGAACCAGUCUAUUACAGCUACAUUAGAGAGGAGGAGGGAGAACCAGUCUAGUAUAGAUACAUUAGAGAGGAGGAGGAGGGAGAACCAGUCUAGUAUAGAUACAUUAGAGAGGAGGAGGAGGGAGAACCAGUCUAGAAUAGCUACAUUAGGGAGGAGGAGGGAGAACCAGUCUAGUAUAGCUACAUUAGAGAGGAGGAGGGAGAACCAGUCUAGUAUAGAUACAUUAGAGAGGAGGAGUGAGAACCAGUCUAGUAAAGCUACAUUAAAGAGGAGGAGGAGGGAGAACCAGUCUAGUACAGCUACAUUAGAGAGGAGGAGGAGGGAGAACCAGUCUAGUACAGCUACAUUAGAGAGGAGGAGGAGGGAGAACCAGUCUAGUAUAGCUACAUUAGAGAGGAGGAGGGAGAACCAGUCUAGUAUAGAUACAUUAGAGAGGAGGAGUGAAAACCAGUCUAGUACAGC
Oncorhynchus tshawytscha (Chinook salmon) is the source of this 1282-nucleotide long non-coding RNA. NCBI's taxonomy places the organism in Eukaryota, Metazoa, Chordata, Actinopteri, Salmoniformes, Salmonidae. The record is from Ensembl.